UCCUAGGAUGUCGAAGACAGAUUUAAUUUUAAUCCAAGAACUGAAAAUCCUUCAUGUUGUUUCUGUUUGAUUUUCUUCUAUUCCAAUAAGAUGAUCAGAGUUUUAAAUCCAGUAUCUAUUAGUGUUGGUUCAGUGUCUCUGUUUGUCUGGUGCUGAGAGCAGAGAAAUGAUUUCCAUAGAGUGGAGGCUUUGCAUGGUCAGCUGAUCCUCCAGUGAACUGAGAAGGUUUAUAGUCCUGUGAGUUCAACACUGCAGGACUCAGAUCUGUCAGUCAAGCCAGCAGAAGCAACAAGCACCAUGACCCUCAUCACCAUCCUCAUCUGGACGCUGACCUGCUGCUGUUUUACAGGAUGCAGAGCUCAGAUCACUGUGACUCAACCUGCAGUGGAGACAUUUACACCAGGAUCCACUGUCACUCUGAAAUGUGAGACAAGCCAAGAUGUAGCAACAUGUUCUGGUGAUCAAUGUAUGUUCUGGUAUCAGCAGAAACCAGGAGAAACUCCAAAGAAUCUUGUAUAUCGGAUGAAUAAACUCCAGUCAGGAACUCCAGCUCGGUUUAGUGGCAGUGGAAGCGGCUCUGCCUUCACUUUGACCAUCAAUGGAGUUCAGGCUGAAGAUGCUGGAGAUUAUUACUGUAUGGGUUACCAUGGUGGCGGCGUGUUCACACAGUGAUUUAGAGUCGUACAA
This is a non-coding RNA of Xiphophorus couchianus (Monterrey platyfish), 687 nucleotides long. Lineage: Eukaryota; Metazoa; Chordata; Actinopteri; Cyprinodontiformes; Poeciliidae. The record is from the annotation of a RefSeq genome assembly.